RNAcentral lists this ribosomal RNA (261 nucleotides) under uncultured bacterium. RNAcentral's name for it is "partial 16S ribosomal RNA". It matches the Rfam family "Bacterial small subunit ribosomal RNA", at positions 524 to 776 of the family's 1533-position model. The record is from RNAcentral.
UACGUAGGGGGGCAAGCGUUGUCCGGAUCAUUGGGCGUAAAGCGCGCGUAGGCGGCCUCGGUAAGUCCGCUGUGAAAAGUCCAGGGGCUCAACCCCGGUGAAGGCCGGGUGGAUACUGUCGGGCUAGAGUCCGGAAGAGGCGAGUGGAAUUCCUGGUGUAGCGGUGAAUGCGCAGAUAUCAGGAGGAACACCAGUAGCGGCGAAGGCAGCUCGCUGGGACGGUACUGACGCUGAGGCGCGAAAGCGUGGGGAGCAAACAGG